Long non-coding RNA from Conger conger (European conger), 252 nucleotides. RefSeq lists it as uncharacterized. The record is from RefSeq and is a predicted model, not a curated record. The transcript has 3 exons. NCBI's taxonomy places the organism in Eukaryota, Metazoa, Chordata, Actinopteri, Anguilliformes, Congridae.
CAGGUACCGUACGCAUGGUGGAACGGUGAUGGAGGUUCCAGAGCUUCCUCAAGGUUGCAGCUCAUCAGCAGCGCCGUGUGGCCCAGCCCCUUCCUGUGAGAGAGACUACAGACCAGGAGAUACUGCUCAGUCACAGCGAUCGGCACCAUCAGCGAGCACAGAACGUCAGCUCACAGGCUGAAAAUGUCUACAAGCCCUUCUUGUGUGUGCCUGCCUUAGCCGGCAUCUUGCUAACGCUAACGCUUCGGGGAG